GACGAGCGCUGGCGGCGCGCCUAACACAUGCAAGUCGAACGGAGCUUAGAGAGCUUGCUUUUUAAGCUUAGUGGCGAACGGGUGAGUAACGCGUGAGUAACCUGCCCUAGAGUGGGGGACAACAGUUGGAAACGACUGCUAAUACCGCAUAAGCCCACGGUACCGCAUGGUACUGAGGGAAAAGGAUUUAUUCGCUUUAGGAUGGACUCGCGUCCAAUUAGCUAGUUGGUGAGGUAACGGCCCACCAAGGCGACGAUUGGUAGCCGGACUGAGAGGUUGAACGGCCACAUUGGGACUGAGACACGGCCCAGACUCCUACGGGAGGCAGCAGUGGGGGAUAUUGCACAAUGGGGGAAACCCUGAUGCAGCGACGCCGCGUGGAGGAAGAAGGUUUUCGGAUUGUAAACUCCUGUCGUUAGGGACGAUAAUGACGGUACCUAACAAGAAAGCACCGGCUAACUACGUGCCAGCAGCCGCGGUAAAACGUAGGGUGCAAGCGUUGUCCGGAAUUACUGGGUGUAAAGGGAGCGCAGGCGGGAAGACAAGUUGGAAGUGAAAACCAUGGGCUCAACCUAUGAAUUGCUUUCAAAACUGUUUUUCUUGAGUAGUGCAGAGGUAGAUGGAAUUCCCGGUGUAGCGGUGGAAUGCGUAGAUAUCGGGAGGAACACCAGUGGCGAAGGCGGUCUACUGGGCACCAACUGACGCUGAGGCUCGAAAGCAUGGGUAGCAAACAAGAUUAGAUCCCCUGGUAGUCCAUGCCGUAA
RNAcentral lists this ribosomal RNA (764 nucleotides) under uncultured bacterium. RNAcentral describes it as "bacterial SSU rRNA". It matches the Rfam family "Bacterial small subunit ribosomal RNA", at positions 28 to 805 of the family's 1533-position model. The record is from RNAcentral.